RNAcentral lists this ribosomal RNA (749 nucleotides) under uncultured bacterium. Its description in RNAcentral is "SSU rRNA". It matches the Rfam family "Bacterial small subunit ribosomal RNA", at positions 507 to 1252 of the family's 1533-position model. The record is from RNAcentral.
GCCAGCCGCCGCGGUAAUACGAAGGGACCUAGCGUAGUUCGGAAUUACUGGGCUUAAAGAGCUCGUAGGUGGUUAAAAAAGUUGAUGGUGAAAUCCCAAGGCUCAACCUUGGAACUGCCAUCAAAACUUUUUAGCUAGAGUGUGAUAGAGGUAAGUGGAAUUUCUAGUGUAGAGGUGAAAUUCGUAGAUAUUAGAAAGAACACCAAAUGCGAAGGCAACUUACUGGGUCACUACUGACACUGAGGAGCGAAAGCAUGGGUAGCGAAGAGGAUUAGAUACCCUCGUAGUCCAUGCCGUAAACGAUGUGUGCUAGACGUUGGAAAUAUAUUUUUCAGUGUCGCAGCGAAAGCAUUAAGCACACCGCCUGGGGAGUACGACCGCAAGGUUAAAACUCAAAUGAAUUGACGGGGACCCGCACAAGCGGUGGAGUAUGUGGCUUAAUUCGAUGCAACGCGAAGAACCUUACCUAGGCUUGACAUGCUUGUCGUACUCUCCCGAAAAGGAGAGGUCACUUCGGGUGGACAAUGCACAGGUGCUGCAUGGCCGUCGUCAGCUCGUGUCGUGAGAUGUUUGGUUAAGUCCAGCAACGAGCGCAACCCCUGUGAACUGUUGCCAGCGCGUAAAGGCGGGGACUCUGUUCAGACUGCCCAGAUCAACUGGGAGGAAGGGUGGGGGACGACGUCAGGUCAGUAUGGCCCUUACGCCUAGGGCUGCACACGUACUACAAUGCCCAGCACAAUGAGAACCGA